This is a long non-coding RNA of Hordeum vulgare subsp. vulgare (domesticated barley), 370 nucleotides long. RefSeq lists it as uncharacterized. The transcript has 3 exons. The record is from RefSeq and is a predicted model, not a curated record. Lineage: Eukaryota; Viridiplantae; Streptophyta; Magnoliopsida; Poales; Poaceae.
UGUAUUUGGUUGAAACUUCACGUUGUCUCUUGUUAUUUCCAGCUUGAAUAGGUGCAGCUUUGACAAAGUAUAGGAUGGGCAGAUGUCGCGAAAGGAAUAAUCAUGGUUUUUGAAGACUGAUAAUGCUCCCUCGAGUACUACACAGCAAAAAAACUCAGCAUUUGCUUGUAGCUCCUGACGGGUAUGCAUUGGAGAGACUAACGUUGCUUUCUGAACUCAAUCAAUGUAAAGACAUUGCGAGUAAACAAAGUUCCAAAUACUUUGGCGUUGGCUGAACAACACCAUUUCCACCAGAUCAAGACGGUGGUAUAUACAUCCGAAUUCGAACCAAAGAGUGCCUUAAAAGGAGGGAAUUAGCAGGGCAAGGAAA